UACGCGCGUCGCCACCUCCGCUGGCGUUACGAUGCAAGGGCGGCGGUAACGGAUGGCCCUCGGAUUCGUCCUGGGAGAAUCGCGACGGAGAGACGGAGAGACGGAGACGGCCUUACCUCGGUCCACAGUGACAGUGGACGCGAUUAUGAACGCUGCAGUCGUAACGCUUCCCGGCGUUUUCUAGCUCACAGAAACACAUCUGAAAGAUUACUGUGACAACGGCCCUCAGACGCAGCGGGCGAAGCGGCCCGAACAGGAGAAGCCAGGGUGUCGGGAGCCACCGGAAUGCUCCGCAAACGUUAACUUAACGGCCCCGGUUCAGCGUUUCAGAUCCACUCCGAAGGCGGCCGGAGACCUGGACCCGUGACUCUUGACAGGGGAGCGCGGCGAAGAGCCCCGCAGACAACUGGGCAACGUCACCUUUGUUCUCCAAAGUGGACAUCCUACCGGGCGGGGUACACCGGGCCGGCUCGCUUUGUGGAAGGUUAUACGCGCAGGUAUGACAAAGCGCCACAAAUUGUGUAAAGGACCAGCAGGUGGCGCAGUGGUUAGAGCUGCCACCUGGAUAUCGAAGGGUUCGAAUCCC
Molecule: long non-coding RNA, 586 nt
Organism: Scleropages formosus (Asian bonytongue)
Lineage: Eukaryota; Metazoa; Chordata; Actinopteri; Osteoglossiformes; Osteoglossidae
Exons: 3
Source: RefSeq, a predicted model, not a curated record